CCCCUCUCAAGGUCACACCUGGAGAGUUUCCAGUACUCUACCAGUCUUGACUAUGGGAGGGAGAUUCAAGCAGAGGCAUUCCAUUCCUUGCCUGGGCAGUGGCUAGCGAGUGGAAACCAAUCUGCUACAAGA
This is a small nucleolar RNA of Tachyglossus aculeatus (Australian echidna), 132 nucleotides long. The record is from RefSeq and is a predicted model, not a curated record. NCBI's taxonomy places the organism in Eukaryota, Metazoa, Chordata, Mammalia, Monotremata, Tachyglossidae.